RNAcentral lists this ribosomal RNA (508 nucleotides) under uncultured Glomeraceae. RNAcentral describes it as "SSU rRNA". It matches the Rfam family "Eukaryotic small subunit ribosomal RNA", at positions 569 to 1078 of the family's 1831-position model. The record is from RNAcentral. Lineage: Eukaryota; Fungi; Glomeromycota; Glomeromycetes; Glomerales; Glomeraceae.
AGCAGCCGCGGUAAUUCCAGCUCCAAUAGCGUAUAUUAAAGUUGUUGCAGUUAAAAAGCUCGUAGUUGAAUUUCGGGAUUAGUGCGCUGGUCAUGCCUUUGGUAUGUACUGGUGUUACUGAUUUCUACCUUCUGAAGAACCGUUAUGUCAUUUAUUUGGUGUGGCGGGGAAUCAGGACUGUUACUUUGAAAAAAUUAGAGUGUUUAAAGCAGGCAUUAGCUUGAAUACAUUAGCAUGGAAUAAUGAAAUAGGACGUUCGAUCCUAUUUUGUUGGCUUCUAGGAUUGACGUAAUGAUUAAUAGGGAUAGUUGGGGGCAUUAGUAUUCAAUUGUCAGAGGUGAAAUUCUUGGAUUUAUUGAAGACUAACUACUGCGAAAGCAUUUGCCAAGGAUGUUUUCAUUAAUCAAGAACGAAAGUUAGGGGAUCGAAGACGAUCAGAUACCGUCGUAGUCUUAACCAUAAACUAUGCCGACUAGGGAUCGGACGAUGUUAAUUUUUUAAUGACUCG